UACGUAGGGUGCAAGCGUUGUCCGGAAUUAUUGGGCGUAAAGAGCUCGUAGGCGGUUUGUUGCGUCGGCUGUGAAAUCCCGAGGCUUAACCCCGGGUCUGCAUUCGAUACGGGCAGGCUAGAGUGUGGUAGGGGAGAUCGGAAUUCCUGGUGUAGCGGUGAAAUGCGCAGAUAUCAGGAGGAACACCGGUGGCGAAGGCGGAUCUCUGGGCCAUUACUGACGCUGAGGAGCGAAAGCGUGGGGAGCGAACAGG
This 253-nucleotide ribosomal RNA is filed under the name uncultured bacterium. RNAcentral's name for it is "partial 16S ribosomal RNA". It matches the Rfam family "Bacterial small subunit ribosomal RNA", at positions 524 to 776 of the family's 1533-position model. The record is from RNAcentral.